RNAcentral lists this ribosomal RNA (897 nucleotides) under uncultured bacterium. RNAcentral's name for it is "bacterial SSU rRNA". It matches the Rfam family "Bacterial small subunit ribosomal RNA", at positions 525 to 1419 of the family's 1533-position model. The record is from RNAcentral.
ACGGGGGGUCCGAGCGUUAAUCGGAAUUACUGGGCGUAAAGGGUCUGUAGGUGGUUUGUUAAGUCAGAUGUGAAAGCCCAGGGCUCAACCUUGGAACUGCAUUUGAUACUGGCAAACUAGAGUAUGGUAGAGGAAUGGGGAAUUUCUGGUGUAGCGGUGAAAUGCGUAGAGAUCAGAAGGAACACCAAUGGCGAAGGCAACAUUCUGGACCAAUACUGACACUGAGGGACGAAAGCGUGGGGAUCAAACAGGAUUAGAUACCCUGGUAGUCCACGCUGUAAACGAUGAGUACUAGCUGUUGGAUUCGGUGUAAAGGAUCUAGUGGCGUAGCUAACGCGUUAAGUACUCCGCCUGGGGACUACGGCCGCAAGGCUAAAACUCAAAGGAAUUGACGGGGACCCGCACAAGCGGUGGAGCAUGUGGUUUAAUUCGAUGCAACGCGAAGAACCUUACCUGGUCUUGACAUCCUGCGAACUUUCUAGAGAUAGAUUGGUGCCUUCGGGAACGCAGUGACAGGUGCUGCACGGCUGUCGUCAGCUCGUGUUGUGAAAUGUUGGGUUAAGUCCCGCAACGAGCGCAACCCCUAUUGAUAGUUACCAUCAUUAAGUUGGGUACUCUAUUGAGACUGCCGCUGACAAGGCGGAGGAAGGUGGGGACGACGUCAAGUCAUCAUGGCCCUUACGACCAGGGCUACACACGUGCUACAAUGGGUAUUACAGAGGACAGCGAAGUAGCGAUAUGGAGCGAAACUCAGAAAGGUACUCUUAGUCCGGAUUGCAGUCUGCAACUCGACUGCAUGAAGUCGGAAUCGCUAGUAAUCGCAGGUCAGAAUACUGCGGUGAAUACGUUCCCGGGUCUUGUUCAAAAGGGGGCGUCACCCCAUGGGAGUGGCCUGCU